AGCGAACGCUGGCGGCAGGCCUAAAACAUGCAAGUCGAACGAACCCUUCGGGGUUAGUGGCGGACGGGUGAGUAACACGUGGGAACGUGCCCUUUGGUUCGGAACAACUCAGGGAAACUUGAGCUAAUACCGGAUGUGCCCUUCGGGGAAGAUUUAUCGCCAUUGGAGCGGCCCGCGUCUGAUUAGCUAGUUGGUGUGGUAACGGCGCACCAAGGCGACGAUCAGUAGCUGGUCUGAGAGGAUGAUCAGCCACAUUGGGACUGAGACACGGCCCAAACUCCUACGGGAGGCAGCAGGGGGGAAUAUUGGACAAUGGGCGCAAGCCUGAUCCAGCCAUGCCGCGUGAGUGAUGAAGGCCCUAGGGUUGUAAAGCUCUUUUACCCGGGAAGAUAAUGAC
Molecule: ribosomal RNA, 397 nt
Filed under: uncultured bacterium
Lineage: Bacteria
Description: bacterial SSU rRNA
Rfam family: Bacterial small subunit ribosomal RNA
Source: RNAcentral